AGAGUUUGAUCAUGGCUCAGAUUGAACGCUGGCGGCAGGCCUAACACAUGCAAGUCGAACGGUAACAGGAAGCAGCUUGCUGCUUCGCUGACGAGUGGCGGACGGGUGAGUAAUGUCUGGGAAACUGCCUGAUGGAGGGGGAUAACUACUGGAAACGGUGGCUAAUACCGCAUAACGUCGCAAGACCAAAGAGGGGGACCUUCGGGCCUCUUGCCAUCAGAUGUGCCCAGAUGGGAUUAGCUUGUUGGUGAGGUAACGGCUCACCAAGGCGACGAUCCCUAGCUGGUCUGAGAGGAUGACCAGCCACACUGGAACUGAGACACGGUCCAGACUCCUACGGGAGGCAGCAGUGGGGAAUAUUGCACAAUGGGCGCAAGCCUGAUGCAGCCAUGCCGCGUGUAUGAAGAAGGCCUUCGGGUUGUAAAGUACUUUCAGCGGGGAGGAAGGUGUUGUGGUUAAUAACCGCAGCAAUUGACGUUACCCGCAGAAGAAGCACCGGCUAACUCCGUGCCAGCAGCCGCGGUAAUACGGAGGGUGCAAGCGUUAAUCGGAAUUACUGGGCGUAAAGCGCACGCAGGCGGUCUGUCAAGUCGGAUGUGAAAUCCCCGGGCUCAACCUGGGAACUGCAUUCGAAACUGGCAGGCUUGAGUCUUGUAGAGGGGGGUAGAAUUCCAGGUGUAGCGGUGAAAUGCGUAGAGAUCUGGAGGAAUACCGGUGGCGAAGGCGGCCCCCUGGACAAAGACUGACGCUCAGGUGCGAAAGCGUGGGGAGCAAACAGGAUUAGAUACCCUGGUAGUCCACGCCGUAAACGAUGUCUACUUGGAGGUUGUGCCCUUGAGGCGUGGCUUCCGGAGCUAACGCGUUAAGUAGACCGCCUGGGGAGUACGGCCGCAAGGUUAAAACUCAAAUGAAUUGACGGGGGCCCGCACAAGCGGUGGAGCAUGUGGUUUAAUUCGAUGCAACGCGAAGAACCUUACCUGGUCUUGACAUCCACGGAAGUUUUCAGAGAUGAGAAUGUGCCUUCGGGAACCGUGAGACAGGUGCUGCAUGGCUGUCGUCAGCUCGUGUUGUGAAAUGUUGGGUUAAGUCCCGCAACGAGCGCAACCCUUAUCCUUUGUUGCCAGCGAUUCGGUCGGGAACUCAAAGGAGACUGCCAGUGAUAAACUGGAGGAAGGUGGGGAUGACGUCAAGUCAUCAUGGCCCUUACGACCAGGGCUACACACGUGCUACAAUGGCGCAUACAAAGAGAAGCGACCUCGCGAGAGCAAGCGGACCUCAUAAAGUGCGUCGUAGUCCGGAUUGGAGUCUGCAACUCGACUCCAUGAAGUCGGAAUCGCUAGUAAUCGUGGAUCAGAAUGCCACGGUGAAUACGUUCCCGGGCCUUGUACACACCGCCCGUCACACCAUGGGAGUGGGUUGCAAAAGAAGUAGGUAGCUUAACCUUCGGGAGGGCGCUUACCACUUUGUGAUUCAUGACUGGGGUGAAGUCGUAACAAGGUAACCGUAGGGGAACCUGCGGUUGGAUCACCUCCUU
RNAcentral lists this ribosomal RNA (1534 nucleotides) under Salmonella enterica subsp. enterica serovar Agona str. SL483. Its description in RNAcentral is "bacterial SSU rRNA". It matches the Rfam family "Bacterial small subunit ribosomal RNA". The record is from RNAcentral. Lineage: Bacteria; Pseudomonadati; Pseudomonadota; Gammaproteobacteria; Enterobacterales; Enterobacteriaceae.